AGACCCGAAACCCGGUGAUCUAGCCAUGGGCAGGUUGAAGGUUGGGUAACACUAACUGGAGGACCGAACCGACUAAUGUUGAAAAAUUAGCGGAUGACCUGUGGCUGGGGGUGAAAGGCCAAUCAAACCGGGAGAUAGCUGGUUCUCCCCGAAAGCUAUUUAGGUAGCGCCUCGUGAAUUCAUCUCCGGGGGUAGAGCACUGUUUCGGCUAGGGGGCCAUCCCGGCUUACCAACCCGAUGCAAACUGCGAAUACCGGAGAAUGUUAUCACGGGAGACACACGGCGGGUGCUAACGUCCGUCGUGAAGAGGGAAACAACCCAGACCGCCAGCUAAGGUCCCAAAGUCAUGGUUAAGUGGGAAACGAUGUGGGAAGGCCCAGACAGCCAGGAUGUUGGCUUAGAAGCAGCCAUCAUUUAAAGAAAGCGUAAUAGCUCACUGGUCGAGUCGGCCUGCGCGGAAGAUGUAACGGGGCUAAACCAUGCACCGAAGCUGCGGCAGCGACACUCAGGUGUUGUUGGGUAGGGGAGCGUUCUGUAAGUCUGCGAAGGUGGCCUGUGAGGGUUGCUGGAGGUAUCAGAAGUGCGAAUGCUGACAUAAGUAACGAUAAAGCGGGUGAAAAGCCCGCUCGCCGGAAGACCAAGG
RNAcentral lists this ribosomal RNA (643 nucleotides) under Salmonella enterica subsp. enterica serovar Infantis. RNAcentral describes it as "partial 23S ribosomal RNA". It matches the Rfam family "Bacterial large subunit ribosomal RNA", at positions 711 to 1350 of the family's 2925-position model. The record is from RNAcentral. Lineage: Bacteria; Pseudomonadati; Pseudomonadota; Gammaproteobacteria; Enterobacterales; Enterobacteriaceae.